UGGGAAUAUGUGCGUGGUUCUUCCUGGACGGAGCCAGUGUGCCAUAGGACUCUUAUAAAAGUGCACGUAUGGCCUUGUCGGGUGAAUUUAGUGGAGGACUCAUUCUCCUAGUUGGUUUUGAGGGGGCUCCAUGAUCUGGGCAGAACACUUGAGAGCUCUCUUGAAUCCCCCAAGCCCAUAAGGACCACUGCCCUGAUGAACUUUCAGGUGGCUGGCAGUUUGACAAUAACUGCUGAAGAAGGUACUGUCCUUGCUAAAGUCUAGAAGGAUCAGAGGAAUGUGAGAAGAAUGCUAUGUCAAG
This is a long non-coding RNA of Arvicola amphibius (Eurasian water vole), 301 nucleotides long. RefSeq lists it as uncharacterized. The record is from RefSeq and is a predicted model, not a curated record. Lineage: Eukaryota; Metazoa; Chordata; Mammalia; Rodentia; Cricetidae. The transcript has 3 exons.